Molecule: ribosomal RNA, 305 nt
Filed under: uncultured bacterium
Lineage: Bacteria
Description: bacterial SSU rRNA
Rfam family: Bacterial small subunit ribosomal RNA
Source: RNAcentral
GGAGCCACGGAGGCAGCAGUGAGGAAUAUUGGUCAAUGGGCGAGAGCCUGAACCAGCCAAGUCGCGUGAGGGAAGACGGUCCUAUGGAUUGUAAACCUCUUUUGCCGGGGAGCAAAAAGCGGUACGUGUACCGCAUCGAGAGUACCCGGAGAAAAAGCAUCGGCUAACUCCGUGCCAGCAGCCGCGGUAAUACGGAGGAUGCGGGCGUUAUCCGGAUUUAUUGGGUUUAAAGGGUGCGCAGGCGGCGAGUUAAGUCAGCGGUAAAAUUUCGGGGCUCAACCCCGACGAGCCGUUGAAACUGGCUU